Molecule: ribosomal RNA, 497 nt
Filed under: uncultured bacterium
Lineage: Bacteria
Description: partial 16S ribosomal RNA
Rfam family: Bacterial small subunit ribosomal RNA
Source: RNAcentral
GAUGAACGCUGGCGGCGUGCCUAAUACAUGCAAGUCGAGCGAACGGACGAGAAGCUUGCUUCUCUGAUGUUAGCGGCGGACGGGUGAGUAACACGUGGAUAACCUACCUAUAGGACUGGGAUAACUUCGGGAAACCGGAGCUAAUACCGGAUAAUAUUUUGAACCGCAUGGUUCAAAAGUGAAAGACGGUCUUGCUGUCACUUAUAGAUGGAUCCGCGCUGCAUUAGCUAGUUGGUAAGGUAACGGCUUACCAAGGCAACGAUGCAUAGCCGACCUGAGAGGGUGAUCGGCCACACUGGAACUGAGACACGGUCCAGACUCCUACGGGAGGCAGCAGUAGGGAAUCUUCCGCAAUGGGCGAAAGCCUGACGGAGCAACGCCGCGUGAGUGAUGAAGGUCUUCGGAUCGUAAAACUCUGUUAUUAGUGAAGAACAUAUGUGUAAGUAACUGUGCACAUCUUGACGGUACCUAAUCAGAAAGCCACGGCUAACUACGUG